UGUUUCGAAAGAACUGGUGUAACACUUGAAUCAAUCUUCGUAUGCGAUAAUAAAAUACAUAACGGUUUAAACAA
Molecule: small RNA, 74 nt
Filed under: Arabidopsis thaliana (thale cress)
Lineage: Eukaryota; Viridiplantae; Streptophyta; Magnoliopsida; Brassicales; Brassicaceae
Description: ATSL188450
Source: RNAcentral